GCCUGGGUGGCUCAGUCUGUUAAGCAUCUGACUUCGACUCAGGUCAUGAUCUCCAGGUUCGUGGGUUUGAGCCCCACAUCAGGCU
RNAcentral lists this transfer RNA (85 nucleotides) under Felis catus (domestic cat). It matches the Rfam family "tRNA". Rfam says of the family: Transfer RNA (tRNA) molecules are approximately 80 nucleotides in length. Their secondary structure includes four short double-helical elements and three loops (D, anti-codon, and T loops). Lineage: Eukaryota; Metazoa; Chordata; Mammalia; Carnivora; Felidae. RNAcentral also lists the same sequence under 1 other name. The record is from Rfam by way of RNAcentral.